This 178-nucleotide unclassified non-coding RNA is filed under the name Sulfitobacter dubius. Its description in RNAcentral is "caulobacter sRNA CC2171". The record is from RNAcentral. Lineage: Bacteria; Pseudomonadati; Pseudomonadota; Alphaproteobacteria; Rhodobacterales; Roseobacteraceae.
CAACAAAUGUAAAGGAGGUGAUCCAGUGUCAAGAAAGGUAUUGGAGCGAGGUGUCGGAACAGCCAGCGGGGUUUCCUGCUAGGGCAGCCCCUGGCAGUGCAACCACCUGGUGGACAUCGGUCUAACCGAUCCCCCUCCUGAAACCAUUCGAUUGGGCCGUUCCGCAAGGGGCGGCCCA